This 354-nucleotide unclassified non-coding RNA is filed under the name Hevea brasiliensis (rubber tree). The record is from RNAcentral. Lineage: Eukaryota; Viridiplantae; Streptophyta; Magnoliopsida; Malpighiales; Euphorbiaceae.
AGGUAUCUGUUGAUGUGUUAUUGACUGACUUGGAAGAUUAUGAGGAUGAAGUACAUGUAACUAAUGGUGCUAAGAGUAGAAAACGAAGAAACCUAAUCAUAGAUGAUGAGGAAUUAAGCAUUCAAGACACAAAUAAGGUCAAGAAGUAAAGGGAUAAUUGUUGGUCAUAAAUGACGAGGAAUAAGUGUUCAUCACACAAAUAAGUUGAAGAUGUAGAGGGAUAAUUGUUGCUUCUGAUUGUUUUCUGUUUUUUGGGCUAAGUUUAGUUGUUUCGUCCUUUUAUAAUUUACACUUUAGUAUAAUAACUAGCCACAUUUGAGCUUAGUUAAGUUAUUUCGUCCUUUUACCAUUUUA